This 496-nucleotide long non-coding RNA is filed under the name Ficedula albicollis (Collared flycatcher). RNAcentral's name for it is "lncRNA (ENSFALG00000020525.2)". The record is from RNAcentral. Lineage: Eukaryota; Metazoa; Chordata; Aves; Passeriformes; Muscicapidae.
AAUGCCACAGAUUCUGCAGUGUGGUUAGACUGACCAAGAGGAUCUUCCUUGAUUCUCAAGUCAGUGGGACAGGAUUUCUUGUGAUCCUUUGUUCUGCUGACAUCGCUUGCUUGCAUUGUCCAUGAGAUGUUCAGGUGGGGGGGUCAGAAGUGGGGGGCUUAAAUCCUAGGGAAGAUUGACAGAUUUUUUUUUUUUUUUUUUUUUUUUUUUUUUUUUUUUUUUUUUUUACUUUCCCCAGUGAUAAGGGCACUAUUUUCCAAGAACAUCCUGCACCUAAUCAAUAGUUUGCUGUUCACGACUCCUCCAGCACCGGCUUGGUCUCUCUGGUAUUCUGCCUGCAACAUGCAGUUUAAUCUCCUCAAAAGAUGUACUUCCUCUACCUCCCCCUGCCCAGCUGUGCCUCGUCAGGAGAUGUCAGACCUGCAAGCUGAAAUGUCAGGUCAGUUGGGAAAAGUUCCCUUUAAUAAAACUAGGUUUGCUUUGACAAUGCCUUAGU